CCAAUAGCGUAUAUUAAAGUUGUUGUGGUUAAAAAGCUCGUAGUUGAACCUUGGGCCUGGCUGGCCGGUCCGCCUCACCGCGUGUACUGGUCCGGCCGGGCCUUUCCCUCUGUGGAACCCCAUGCCCUUCACUGGGUGUGGCGGGGAAACAGGACUUUUACUGUGAAAAAAUUAGAGUGCUCCAGGCAGGCCUAUGCUCGAAUACAUUAGCAUGGAAUAAUAGAAUAGGACGUGUGGUUCUAUUUUGUUGGUUUCUAGGACCGCCGUAAUGAUUAAUAGGGACAGUCGGGGGCAUCAGUAUUCAAUUGUCAGAGGUGAAAUUCUUGGAUUUAUUGAAGACUAACUACUGCGAAAGCAUUUGCCAAGGAUGUUUUCAUUAAUCAGGAACGAAAGUUAGGGGAUCGAAGACGAUCAGAUACCGUCGUAGUCUUAACCAUAAACUAUGCCGACUAGGGAUCGGACGGUGUUAUUUUUUGACCCGUUCGGCACCUUACG
RNAcentral lists this small RNA (495 nucleotides) under uncultured Glomeromycotina. RNAcentral describes it as "SSU rRNA". It matches the Rfam family "Eukaryotic small subunit ribosomal RNA", at positions 591 to 1092 of the family's 1831-position model. Lineage: Eukaryota; Fungi; Glomeromycota. The record is from RNAcentral.